UGUUAAAAUUUUCAUUCGCUUCUACUAUUAAAAACUAGUGUAACGCUAACAAAUAACCAGACUGUGACAUGUGACAUGCCACGUAUGCCUCGUGCUAACAUAUAAAGAUUAGUUUUUUAAAUGUAGAAAUGGAUGAAAUAUUUAACA
Gossypium arboreum is the source of this 147-nucleotide non-coding RNA. The record is from Rfam. Lineage: Eukaryota; Viridiplantae; Streptophyta; Magnoliopsida; Malvales; Malvaceae.